This 450-nucleotide ribosomal RNA is filed under the name uncultured bacterium. Its description in RNAcentral is "partial 16S ribosomal RNA". It matches the Rfam family "Bacterial small subunit ribosomal RNA", at positions 354 to 796 of the family's 1533-position model. The record is from RNAcentral.
GUAAGGAGUUUUCGGCAAUGGGGGGAACCCUGACCGAGCAACGCCGCGUGAGUGAUGACGGCCCUAUGGGUUGUAAAGCUCUGUUAUAAGGGACGAACAGCUUUGCUAGGAAAUGAGCAGAGUCUGACGGUACUUUAUCAGAAAGCCACGGCUAACUACGUGCCAGCAGCCGCGGUAAUACGUAGGUGGCAAGCGUUAUCCGGAAUUAUUGGGCGUAAAGAGUGAGCAGGCGGCAGAUUAAGUUUGAGGUUAAAGCGUGGGGCUCAACCCCAUAAAGCCUUGAAAACUGAUCAGCUAGAGUACGAGAGAUGUGAAGGGAACUCCAUGUGUAGCGGUGAAAUGCGUAGAUAUAUGGAAGAACACCAGUGGCGAAGGCGCUUCACAAGCUCGAAACUGACGCUCAGUCACGAAAGCGUGGGUAGCAAAUAGGAUUAGAAACCCCAGUAGUCC